GCGGGGCUUUGGGAAGGUGAUUACGAGGCUGACAGCUAACUUGUUGGGAGUUAGGGUCUGGUCUGAAGAGGUAGGUCACUGUGGUAGGUCACUGCGGGCUUGACUUGGGAGCCUUCGUCUUUCUCUUCAGCUCCUCCCUCCACUCUACUUCUUGAACAAGACCGGCGCAGCUGUUCCUGUUGUCCUCUCCCCUGCCAUGCUGUCCUGCCACGGAGCCACCCGACUAUGCAUGGAAACCUCUACAAGCUGUGAACCAAAAUCUCUCCUCCUUUGUGUGGUGGGUGUUGGGAACUGUGUCUUAGUGAUGAGGAAACUGACUAUGACCACAAUUCUUUGGCUAUUUCCACGAAAAAGCAUCGACAUAUAAGGGAUCAGACAUCAAACAUGUUGCUACAUCCUGCAGCCACGUUUCAGGGGAGAGCACAACCGCGGUCUGCAGUCUGUAGUGGCUCAGCUAGGGCUGCCGGCGCCGCUCCCGCUGUCCCCGGAGAGCCGGGGAGUCCGGC
RNAcentral lists this long non-coding RNA (506 nucleotides) under Fukomys damarensis (Damara mole-rat). RNAcentral's name for it is "lncRNA (ENSFDAG00000024750.1)". Lineage: Eukaryota; Metazoa; Chordata; Mammalia; Rodentia; Bathyergidae. The record is from RNAcentral.